Molecule: long non-coding RNA, 782 nt
Organism: Homo sapiens (human)
Lineage: Eukaryota; Metazoa; Chordata; Mammalia; Primates; Hominidae
Exons: 4
Source: RefSeq, a predicted model, not a curated record
CUCAAGCAUGCUAAAGAUCAAGAACACUGUUCUCAAGUGUUUUACCUGCCCACGCUUUGCACCCAGGGCAUAUUUUGAGUGAAAGAGUCGAGACCUGCAUCUAGAGGCCCCUAAGAAUGGACUAAGGCUGGGCAGUCUUUGCCAUGGACAAAAUGAUCAAAACCAGCUGCUCCGUGGAGUUCUUCAUUGAAAGGAAGAGAGAGGUGGAGUUGGCAGUGAAGCGGGAUCUGCAGACACACUUCAGCAUCAAGCUGACUUAUCACUCCUCUGGAAACGGUUAACAUGCCUGGUCCAGCCACCCGUCAUGUGGAUGUGAUGUGCCUCUCAGCAGUUCUGAAGAUGACAGAAUUCACUUGCAGAUCUAAAAGAGACAAACAGAAGCUGGAAAUUGUACAUAGAGUUGAUAGGAAAACCACCUGAUUACAAAUCACUUAUCGGAAAUGCUAUGUGGAGAAGAAUUAGAAGACAUGGUCACUGAGCAGGAAGAGACAUGACUCUGCCAAGGUAUUAUUGGAAAGGUUGGAGGUGAUCUACUAUAUGGAAGCAUCUCUGAAGUCUAGACAUAAAUCAUCACAGUUCUAGAAAAAGUGGAAGAGAAAACACACCUUUGUAAAAGGACUGGAACAUAGGAAAGUGAUUGAGUUUGAAACACCAACAAAACCAUAUAGGGUGACGGACAGAAACCAGAUUAUAAGGUGUUAAGGAGGGAGGAAGAAAAGACAAAUCAAGAAAACCCCAGGCCCCACCAGCAGAGCAGCAGAGCAGCAGAGUGGCAGAGUGGC